RNAcentral lists this transfer RNA (85 nucleotides) under Terriglobia bacterium. Its description in RNAcentral is "tRNA-Leu". It matches the Rfam family "tRNA". Rfam says of the family: Transfer RNA (tRNA) molecules are approximately 80 nucleotides in length. Their secondary structure includes four short double-helical elements and three loops (D, anti-codon, and T loops). The record is from RNAcentral. Lineage: Bacteria; Pseudomonadati; Acidobacteriota; Terriglobia.
GGCCCCGUGGCGGAAUUGGCAGACGCGCCAGACUUAGGAUCUGGUCUCGAGAGAGGUUCCGGUUCGACCCCGGACGGGGCCACCA